UUCAAUUGGUUUACAAAUGUUACCGGGGCAGCAUGCGGUGGAUUGUGGCUUACCCUCCCUGACCGUUGGCUGGUGGAUGUGUGUCAAAUUCUCCUCGUUGGCAGGAAGGAAUGGAAGUGGCAGACAUGAGUAAGAGUAUGCCAUGGCAAAUUAGUAAACAUAAUAUUUCAUUCCUUAUCCUGAAAGCUUGUAGGGAUGUAAUGCUUCUAGUUUUGAAGUUGUAACAAUGUAAUGGUUCCUUGAAAAUGCUUUUAUGUACCAAAAAAAAUGCCUUUGAACUUCUAUGAAUGAAGGUAAGUGGCUUAUAAAAUAUACACGUCGCUAAGUCUGGACUGUCCUCUUCUCAAGCCUGCAUUGCUUUCAGCUAUCUGUUGCUGAUGAGUGUAGAAUCGAAUUGCGUGAUUGUCCUUUGUCCAAGAAAAAGAAUGACCUUCCCACCUGGUUGAUGUAUUUCUUCUGCUUGAGCAGGAGAAAGUGCUGGUUUCCACCUUCUGCAGGAUUUCGCAUGAUGGUUCAGAUUAGAUAUUGAAAGACAUUAAGGCCCCUUGUUACCAACAAUCAUUACACGAACACUUCCCUUCAAUGAAAUGGUGAAACCGACCACCAUCUCUG
RNAcentral lists this long non-coding RNA (612 nucleotides) under Theobroma cacao (cacao). RNAcentral's name for it is "long non-coding RNA (TCAC_LNC000609)". Lineage: Eukaryota; Viridiplantae; Streptophyta; Magnoliopsida; Malvales; Malvaceae. The record is from RNAcentral.